This 227-nucleotide long non-coding RNA is filed under the name Gossypium raimondii (Peruvian cotton). Its description in RNAcentral is "long non-coding RNA (GRAI_LNC003545)". Lineage: Eukaryota; Viridiplantae; Streptophyta; Magnoliopsida; Malvales; Malvaceae. The record is from RNAcentral.
GAUAACGAGCAAAGAGGGACAGCUGUACAAGCCAAUUUUUUGCCCGGCCUAAAACCCAAAUUUUUAUCGCCCAAAUUCACUAGCCUAACCCCAAACUAAACCUACCCAAAUAACCCAUUAUAAGCCCAAAUUAGAAAAAAAAAACUAGAGGCCUGAUUGGCCCAAAACCUAAACUCUUCAGCAGAAACCCUAGCCCCCUAUUAUGCAGCCACCGACCCCAACUGCCG